Molecule: ribosomal RNA, 497 nt
Filed under: uncultured bacterium
Lineage: Bacteria
Description: partial 16S ribosomal RNA
Rfam family: Bacterial small subunit ribosomal RNA
Source: RNAcentral
GAUGAACGCUGGCGGCGUGCCUAAUACAUGCAAGUCGAGCGAACAGACGAGGGGCUUGCUCCUCUGACGUUAGCGGCGGACGGGUGAGUAACACGUGGAUAACCUACCUAUAAGACUGGGAUAACUUCGGGAAACCGGAGCUAAUACCGGAUAAUAUAUUGAACCGCAUGGUUCAAUAGUGAAAGACGGUUUUGCUGUCACGUAUAGAUGGAUCCCCGCCGCAUUAGCUAGUUGGUAAGGUAACGGCUUACCAAGGCAACGAUGCGUAGCCGACCUGAGAGGGUGAUAGGCCACAUUGGAGCUGGGACACGGUCCAGGCUCCUACGGGAGGCAGCAGUAGGGAAUCUUCCGCAAUGGGCGAAAGCCUGACGGAGCAACGCCGCGUGAGUGAUGAAGGUCUUCCGAUCGUAAAACUCUGUUAUUAGGGAAGAACAAAUGUGUAAGUAACUAUGCACGUCUUGACGGUACCUAAUCAGAAAGCCACGGCUAACUACGUG